CAGCACCUCAAGUGGUCAGGAUGAUUAUUGGGCCUAAAGCAUCCGUAGCCGGCGCUGUAAGUUUUCGGUUAAAUCUGUACGCUCAACGUACAGGCUGCCGGGAAUACUGCAGCGCUAGGGAGUGGGAGAGGUAGACGGUACUCGGUAGGAAGGGGUAAAAUCCUUUGAUCUAUUGAUGACCACCUGUGGCGAAGGCGGUCUACCAGAACACGUCAGACGGUGAGGGAUGAAAGCUGGGGGAGCAAACCGGAUUAGAUACCCGAGUAGUCC
RNAcentral lists this ribosomal RNA (270 nucleotides) under uncultured archaeon. Its description in RNAcentral is "partial 16S ribosomal RNA". It matches the Rfam family "Archaeal small subunit ribosomal RNA", at positions 477 to 747 of the family's 1478-position model. The record is from RNAcentral.